Molecule: long non-coding RNA, 503 nt
Organism: Macadamia integrifolia
Lineage: Eukaryota; Viridiplantae; Streptophyta; Magnoliopsida; Proteales; Proteaceae
Exons: 2
Source: RefSeq, a predicted model, not a curated record
UCGAAGAUCGAGAUAUGCCUCCCUGUCCAACCGUUGAAGACGACCUGCAACUGCGCAUCCAGAUCUCUGCUCCUCCUGCGUAACCGACGACGGUACGCUCUUCUCCUCCGGCGUCGAUCAUCGACGGGGAGCUCCGCUCAUUCGAAGAUCGAGAUAUGCCUCCCUGUACAACCGUUGAAGACGACCUGCAACUGCGCAUCCAUAUCUCUGCUCCUCCUGCGUAACCGACGACGGUACGCUCUUCUCCUCCGGCAUCGAUCGUCGACCAAUUGGCGCUCCGUGUGAUGCCGAAGGAAAGAUUGGGUUGAAUUAAUGCUCUUUUAUUUUAUUUGAUGAUGAUAUAGAUCGAAAGGAUCAUAGGAAGGAAAAGUGGGUUUCUGUUUUGUUCUUCGAUUUGAGACUUUAUCGGAAGGAGAUUAGAGAUGGGUUUCUUCAGUACUAUAUUUGGGUUUUUCGGCUUUGGUGUGGGAAUUACAAUUGGACUUGUAGUUGGCUUAUAAACA